UCGGGCGUGGUGUAAUUGGCAACACUCUGGCCUUUGGUGCCAGCUUUUCAGGUUCGAGUCCUGGCGCCCGAGC
This 73-nucleotide transfer RNA is filed under the name Rhizocola hellebori. RNAcentral's name for it is "tRNA-Gln". It matches the Rfam family "tRNA". Rfam says of the family: Transfer RNA (tRNA) molecules are approximately 80 nucleotides in length. Lineage: Bacteria; Bacillati; Actinomycetota; Actinomycetes; Micromonosporales; Micromonosporaceae. The record is from RNAcentral.